GGUUAAGCGACUAAGCGUACACGGUGGAUGCCCUGGCAGUCAGAGGCGAUGAAGGGCGUGCUAAUCUGCGAUAAGCGCCGGUAAGGUGAUAUGAACCGUUAUAACCGGCGAUACCCGAAUGGGGAAACCCAGUGUGAYUCGUCACACUAUCAUUAACUGAAUCCAUAGGUUAAUGAGGCGAACCGGGGGAACUGAAACAUCUAAGUACCCCGAGGAAAAGAAAUCAACCGAGAUUCCCCCAGUAGCGGCGAGCGAACGGGGAGGAGCCCAGAGCCUGAAUCAGCAUGUGUGUUAGUGGAAGCGUCUGGAAAGGCGCGCGAUACAGGGUGACAGCCCCGUACACAAAAGCGCAUGUGCUGUGAGCUCGAUGAG
RNAcentral lists this ribosomal RNA (372 nucleotides) under Salmonella enterica subsp. enterica serovar Typhimurium. Its description in RNAcentral is "partial 23S ribosomal RNA". RNAcentral also lists the same sequence under 2 other names. Lineage: Bacteria; Pseudomonadati; Pseudomonadota; Gammaproteobacteria; Enterobacterales; Enterobacteriaceae. The record is from RNAcentral.